RNAcentral lists this ribosomal RNA (468 nucleotides) under uncultured bacterium. RNAcentral describes it as "partial 16S ribosomal RNA". It matches the Rfam family "Bacterial small subunit ribosomal RNA", at positions 28 to 507 of the family's 1533-position model. The record is from RNAcentral.
GACGAACGCUGGCGGCGUGCUUAACACAUGCAAGUUGAACGGAAAGGCCCUGCUUUUGUGGGGUGCUCGAGUGGCGAACGGGUGAGUAACACGUGAGUAACCUGCCCUUGACUUUGGGAUAACUUCAGGAAACUGGGGCUAAUACCGGAUAGGAGCUCCUGCUGCAUGGUGGGGGUUGGAAAGUUUCGGCGGUUGGGGAUGGACUCGCGGCUUAUCAGCUUGUUGGUGGGGUAGUGGCUUACCAAGGCUUUGACGGGUAGCCGGCCUGAGAGGGUGACCGGCCACAUUGGGACUGCGAUACGGACCAGACUCCUACGGGAGGCAGCAGUGGGGAAUAUUGCACAAUGGGCGGAAGCCUGAUGCAGCAACGCCGCGUGCGGGAUGACGGCCUUCGGGUUGUAAACCGCUUUCGCCUGUGACGAAGCGUGAGUGACGGUAAUGGGUAAAGAAGCACCGGCUAACUACGUG